CUUUCACGAUAGCCGAGAUAUGGCAUUUUUGAUGCCCAUUUUUGGCCUCAAAAACGGACGUCGAAAACGACAUUUUCAGGAUUUUCAAAGUGCUCUCAUUCCCUUAGUUCUGCUCGGAUCCUGGUAUAACCCGGUGUUUUCGUAAUCUAGGUAACCCAAAUAAGACGCUGGUAUACUUAGUUUGAUUUCGAAAAAAAUCAAUUUUGGGUGAAAAAAUUCGAUACGGGGGGGUAUACCCGAGAAAUGAAAAUUUCCAAACUUUGAAGGUCGAUAUCUCGGCUUCUGUGGGAGCUAUCGGGAAAAUUCCAACGGUUUUGUCUUAGUUUCAUCGUUCUGAAUCCAACGAGACUAUCCGCAAAGUCGUAGCUUUUACGAUAGCCGAGAUAUGGCAUUUUUGAUGCCCAUUUUUGGCCUCAAAAACGGACGUCGAAAACGACUUUUUCAGGAUUUUCAAAGUGCUCU
This is a long non-coding RNA of Anthonomus grandis grandis, 462 nucleotides long. RefSeq lists it as uncharacterized. NCBI's taxonomy places the organism in Eukaryota, Metazoa, Arthropoda, Insecta, Coleoptera, Curculionidae. The record is from RefSeq and is a predicted model, not a curated record. The transcript is spliced from 3 exons.